This 748-nucleotide long non-coding RNA is filed under the name Homo sapiens (human). RNAcentral's name for it is "HSALNT0402791". The record is from RNAcentral. Lineage: Eukaryota; Metazoa; Chordata; Mammalia; Primates; Hominidae.
AAACCCAAAACAAUGGGAGUGACAUGCAAACCGGAACCCAAAACAAUGGGAGUGAUGUGCUUAAACCGGAACCCAAAACAAUGGUAGUGACCCGCUAAAGCAGAAACCCAAAACAAUGGGAGUGUCCUGCUAAACCAGAAACCCAAAACAAUGGGAGUGACGUGUAAAACCAGAAACCCAAAACAAUGGGAGCGUCAUGCUAAAACCAGAAACCCAAAACAAUGGGAGGGUCCUGCUAAACCAGAAACCCAAAACAAUGGGAGUGAAGUGCUAAAACCAGAAACCCAAAACAAUGGGAGUGUCCUGCUACACCAGAAACCCAAAACGAUGGGAGUGACGUGAUAAAACCAGACACCCAAAACAAUGGGAGUGACGUGCUAAACCAGAAACCCAAAACAAUGGGAGUGACGUGCUAAAACCUGGAAACCCAAAACAAUGGGAGUGAGGUGCUAAAACCAGAACCCAAAACAAUGUGAGUGACGUGCUAAACCAGAACCCAAAACAAUGGGAGUGACGUGCUAAAACAGGAACCCAAAACAAUGAGAGUGACGUGCUAAACCAGAAACCCAAAACAAUGGGAAUGACGUGCUAAAACCGGAACCCAAAACAAUGGUAACUAAGAGUGAUGCUAAGGCCCUACAUUUUGGUCACACUCUCAACUAAGUGAGAACUUGACUGAAAAGGAGGAUUUUUUUUUUCUAAGACAGAGUUUUGGUCUGUCCCCCAGAGUGGAGUGCAGUGGCAUGAU